This 200-nucleotide ribosomal RNA is filed under the name uncultured bacterium. Its description in RNAcentral is "partial 16S ribosomal RNA". It matches the Rfam family "Bacterial small subunit ribosomal RNA", at positions 8 to 217 of the family's 1533-position model. The record is from RNAcentral.
AGAGUUUGAUCAUGGCUCAGGACGAACGCUGGCGGCGUGCCUAAUACAUGCAAGUCGAGCGGGACUCUUCGGAGUCCAGCGGCGGACGGGUGAGUAACACGUGGGCAACCUGCCCCGAAGACUGGGACAACACCGGGAAACCGGAGCUAAUACCGGAUAAUCCUUUCUCUCUCAUGAGGGAGAGCUGAAAGACGGUUUCG